This 255-nucleotide ribosomal RNA is filed under the name uncultured bacterium. RNAcentral's name for it is "partial 16S ribosomal RNA". It matches the Rfam family "Bacterial small subunit ribosomal RNA", at positions 524 to 776 of the family's 1533-position model. The record is from RNAcentral.
GACAGGAAGUGCAGCCGUUAUUCGGAUUUAUUGGGCGUAAAGGGUAUCUAGGUGGGUUCAAAAAACAAAGGACGAAAUGCUAGAGUAUACUUUUAGAGAAGUUCCUUUCAGAUUAAGAACCUUGAGUUGGUUGGACGUUUGGAGAAUCUCUGGUGUAGGGGUAGAAUGUUACAAUAUCAGACAGAAGACCCGAGGCAUAGGCGCCUUACGAUGAUUGACUGACGCUGACGUACGAAAGUGUAGGGCGCAAACAGG